AGGCAGUGCACCGACUUCUAACAUGCAGUCCAACGUGAUGGGGACCCUGCCUGAGAUGUAGACAGCCUGACAGGGCCGAAGCCAACUCACAAUGAGGAGAUGGACACGGUUUGGUCCCCUGGAGCUGUCCUUGUAGGUAAUCUCUGAGUAUUAAAAGGAUCAGCAAUGAAGGAUUAAGCUUUUUGAUUGCAGGUGCCAUCGAGGUAAUCUUUGGGAGCAGAUGAGCAUUGGAGGUAACCCAGAAGAUGACAGCACAUUGUCCGACUCGAGUCAGAGCCAGCGACCCGAGGCCCUGCCUCGGUGAGAGUG
Manacus vitellinus (golden-collared manakin) is the source of this 309-nucleotide long non-coding RNA. RefSeq lists it as uncharacterized. NCBI's taxonomy places the organism in Eukaryota, Metazoa, Chordata, Aves, Passeriformes, Pipridae. The transcript has 3 exons. The record is from RefSeq and is a predicted model, not a curated record.